UUCCCUUCAAGAUCCCACAUGCUAAUGCUUUUGUCAGUAACACCGCAAUAUACCCUUUUGCCAUCUGGAGCCCAUCCACACGAGGUCAAACCAAGACCAUUUUUCUGGUAAAGAUGCAUGCAUUCACCGGAGUUUACAUCCCACAGUCUAACAACCUCCUCUACUCCACAAGUGAGAAGGUAAUUAUCAUCCGGAGCCCACGACAUAAAGGAUACAGCUUCCUCGUGACCAGAUAAACGGUGCUUCAAGCAUAACCUCCCAUCCAACUUCACCUGCAAAAGGGUUAAAUAAUUUAGAAGUGAACUUAAAUCUUCGGUUAAUUCUAUCAUAAAAAUUCAGAUUUUCAGCAAUAACAGCUCACUUUUUCCACGUUCUCUGAAUUACCUCUUCCAGAAAAAAGAAACAGAAAAUCCAUCUAUUUAGAUCUUUUACCAAAAAUCAUAUACACCUAUAAUAGGACUCUAAAGGUCAGAGAAUGAACGCACAUCGUAUACCAUCGUUAAAAUGGUACUGUGUGAUAGAUAAAAUAAAAAUGAAUUGAGAAUCAUUGGGGAAUAUGUUGUUGUUGUUGUUGCUGGGGAACCAAGAGUAAAUUAAAAUUGAAUUGGUAAAAUAGCUGGUGAUCUGGUUAUCUAGUUAAGACUAAUACAGGAAAGAAGACGAUCAACAUGAUUAGUGCCCUAUGCUCUGCAAAUAGGAUCUGUCGAGGAAACUAAAACUGAAUUUUGGAAAGCUAUGAGCACAUUGAUUCAAGGGAUUCCAAAUGACGAACAAAUCUUCAUUAGGGAAAAAGUUAAUGGACAUGUAGGUAGAUAUAAUGAUGUUUUUGAACCAAGCUCAUGUAAGAUAGGUUUAUAAUAUGAAGAAUAAAGGAAAGGCUACUUAAUGAUUCGCCUUGGUACAUGAUUUAGUUUUAGCCAAAAGAUACUUCAAAAAGAACGAAUCACACUCUAUAACAUUUAAAAGUAGAGGUAACUAUAACUAGACUUCAUUACUCUUUCAAAAGACAUGACAAGCCACACGUAAGGAUAGCAAGAUUAUACCAGGAGAAGCCCAGACCACCCAACCUAGACGGAGGAGGUCCUGGCUGUAAAGAGAAAGAGUGACCAGACUUGCACGCAACCAAGAAUUAGUGGUAAGCAGUAAAUGGCAAGAACCAAUUAGCACUUCAGAGAAAGCUAGAGAAGAAGGGAACUUAGAAGCAGAAGCAAAUACCCCCAGAUGAAAAUAUCAGGUUGCAUGGUGAGAAGUAACGGCAAGAACCAAUUAGCACUUCAGAGAAAGCUAGAGAAGAAGGGAACUUAGAAGCAGAACCAAAUACCCACAGAUGAAAAUAUCAGAGGUUGCAUUAAGGAAGUAGGAAGGAAGUUUUAGGUGUGUCUAAAGGUGGAAUGACAAAGAGCAAAAAGUUAUUAAAGCAAAAGGAGUGUCAUAGGCUCAUAAGAAGAUACAAAAAAUAGAAGAUGGAAAAACUCAAGCGACAAGAGAACUAAUAGGAAGCUAGGAAGACUGGUACCAAACCCCGAGGUGAAGCACGACCAAGCAAGUGGAAAUACUUUUCUAACAACCAAGCCCGAGACUAUCACAUGCAAGCCCAACUAUUUUUUACGGAUCAAGCAAGUAUAAUUUUAAAAUAAUAAUAAUAAUAAGUGGCAGUGAGUCUUGAACCAAGAGCAUCUGCCUUCUCUACCAUCUUUGAUAUUAUAUUGAAUUGUGUUACCUUCUAGUGCAAUGACGAAAAAGAAAGAAGUUGGUAUUGUUAAAGUUGCCUUUCUACUUCUACGGAGGUAGUGGUAUGGACUGCGUACAUUUUGCCCUCCCCAAACCCCACUAUGUGGGAAUACACUGGGCUUUUUGUUGUUGUUGUUGGUAUUGUUAAAGUUCUAGAGAGGAAGAGGAGUUACUCCCUCUAAAGGUUUAUCAGUUAGAAAAUGGACGAAUGACUUUCUACUGUCAUACUAGAGAUACAUCAGGGGAAUCUACAAAAGAAACAUUUCAUUUGUCGCAAUGCAUGGAAAAGUGAAGCAAAAUUAGAGCUACUUUUCCCUUCAAGAUCCCACAUGCUAAUGCUUUUGUCAGUAACACCGCAAUAUACCCUUUUGCCAUCUGGAGCCCAUCCACACGAGGUCAAACCAAGACCAUUUUUCUGGUAAAGAUGCAUGCAUUCACCGGAGUUUACAUCCCACAGUCUAACAACCUCCUCUACUCCACAAGUGAGAAGGUAAUUAUCAUCCGGAGCCCACGACAUAAAGGAUACAGCUUCCUCGUGACCAGAUAAACGGUGCUUCAAGCAUAACCUCCCAUCCAACUUCACCUGCAAAAGGGUUAAAUAAUUUAGAAGUGAACUUAAAUCUUCGGUUAAUUCUAUCAUAAAAAUUCAGAUUUUCAGCAAUAACAGCUCACUUUUUC
This 2409-nucleotide long non-coding RNA is filed under the name Capsicum annuum. RNAcentral's name for it is "long non-coding RNA (CANN_LNC013556)". The record is from RNAcentral. Lineage: Eukaryota; Viridiplantae; Streptophyta; Magnoliopsida; Solanales; Solanaceae.